CUCGUGGGUUGGCAGUAUGAGAGUUGUAAUGGCCCGACUGUUGAGUGAGGGGGAGCAGGGGAUCCCAACGGCUUGCGCUGCCUUUGCGCAGCAGCCGGCGGGCGGCCACGUCGCGGCCUGGCUGGGGUAGGAGAGGGCGGUCCCCAGUGCAGUUGGGUGAACUACCGUUGCACACUGGAGUUUCUGGUGUCUUUGCUUGGAACUGACCUAGCUCGUGGCAGGGGGAACUCGGCUAGCGGCCCCACAGCCCCUGCUGACUCAAAACAACUGAGUUGUAAGACGUUCAUCGCCGUGUUAUCCUUGAGUAAAGACAGGGCGCAAUGCCAGGAUCUCCCUGCAACAUCCACCGUCAGGGCUCAAGUGGUCUUUCCACCUCAGCUUCCUGGGACUGCAGGCACGUGCUACCACCACGCCUGGCUAAUUUUUAGUUUUUUUACAGAAGCGGGCUUUUGCCAUGUUGUCCAGGCUGGUCUCUACUCCUGGGCUCAAGCAGUCCUCCUGCCUCAGUCUCCCAAAGUGCUGGAAUUACAGGGAAUGAACUCUGGAAGCCCAGCCAGGGACAAUGCACCUUCACAGAGAUUCUGCACUAAUCUGAGUGAAGGUCUAAGGUUUGGAAUCUCCCCCUCAUGGAGAGAAGCUUUGUAUGGCUGUCAUGCUUAGACAGUGAUUCCUGCAACUUGACCUUCAGGCUGGGAGAGGUGGAGAGCCAUGCCUGUUCUCCUUCCUUGCUAUGGAAUUUGCUGACACAAUAUCUUCCGCCUGGUGCUGGGCAUAUCCUAAGAACUUACAACUUUCCUGUAUUAUCCUGUGUGAGCAGCUGUCACCUUAUUGGGGGAAAAAUGCCUGAAAAUUAGGGGGCACUUCAAGUAGAUAGCUUCUAUUUCCUAUAUUUGUCUUAUAUACAAGUAUUUGCUUUUAUCAAAAUAAUUCCAAUAAAGCAUUUUAAAGUAAA
Homo sapiens (human) is the source of this 952-nucleotide long non-coding RNA. Ensembl annotates it as small nucleolar RNA host gene 32. Its record names the gene SNHG32. Lineage: Eukaryota; Metazoa; Chordata; Mammalia; Primates; Hominidae. The record is from Ensembl.